This 577-nucleotide ribosomal RNA is filed under the name Pichia occidentalis. Its description in RNAcentral is "eukaryotic LSU rRNA". It matches the Rfam family "Eukaryotic large subunit ribosomal RNA", at positions 64 to 664 of the family's 3401-position model. The record is from RNAcentral. Lineage: Eukaryota; Fungi; Ascomycota; Pichiomycetes; Pichiales; Pichiaceae.
ACCAACAGGGAUUGCCUCAGUAGCGGCGAGUGAAGCGGCAAAAGCUCAGAUUUGAAAUCGUGUUUCGGCACGAGUUGUAGAUUGCAGGUUGGAGUCUUUGUGGAAGCGUGUGUCUAAGUCCCUUGGAACAGGGUGCCAUUGAGGGUGAGAGCCCCGUGAGACGCGUGCGGAAGCUGUAAGGCCCUUCUGACGAGUCGAGUUGUUUGGGAAUGCAGCUCUAAGUGGGUGGUAAAUUCCAUCUAAGGCUAAAUAUUGGCGAGAGACCGAUAGCGAACAAGUACUGUGAAGGAAAGAUGAAAAGCACUUUGAAAAGAGAGUGAAACAGCACGUGAAAUUGUUGAAAGGGAAGGGUAUUGGGCUCGACAUGGGAUUUGCGCACCGCUGCUCCUUGUGGGCGGCGCUCUGUGCUUUUCCUGGGCCAGCAUCGGUUUUUGCCGCAGGAGAAGGCGUGCUGGAAUGUGGCUCUUCGGAGUGUUAUAGCCAGUGCGAGAUGCUGCGUGCGGGGACCGAGGACUGCGACAUCUGUCUCGGAUGCUGGCACAACGGCGCAAUACCGCCCGUCUGACACCACGGAACC